Small nucleolar RNA from Micropterus dolomieu (smallmouth bass), 324 nucleotides. Lineage: Eukaryota; Metazoa; Chordata; Actinopteri; Centrarchiformes; Centrarchidae. The record is from RefSeq and is a predicted model, not a curated record.
GCCCACUGAUGAGAUUAUGGCAACUUUUAUGAUCUAGUCAGACCAAGAGAUUGUGGUCUCUAGCCUGCUGUUAGAUGGGUAGUCUUGGUAGUGUGGUGGAGUUUUAUUGCACUGCUGUAAGGGUCCAUCUACAGUUAACUUGUCACCUUCUACAACCUCUGCCCCCUAAGAGCAAUGGGAUGGCACAAGUAGGGGAUGUCAAACAAUGUGUGGAUGUUUGUCUUUUUCUGUGUGUUGUGUGAUUGUAUAUGUAUCAGCUGGCAAGAGGCUACAGUCUAUAGAUGGUUUGGCAGGUGUGAACUACUCUUUGGUAAUCUGAGGGCA